This 402-nucleotide RNase P RNA is filed under the name Cytophaga sp. RNAcentral describes it as "RNase P RNA component class A". It matches the Rfam family "Bacterial RNase P class A". Rfam says of the family: Ribonuclease P (RNase P) is a ubiquitous endoribonuclease, found in archaea, bacteria and eukarya as well as chloroplasts and mitochondria. Its best characterised activity is the generation of mature 5'-ends of tRNAs by cleaving the 5'-leader elements of precursor-tRNAs. The record is from RNAcentral. Lineage: Bacteria; Pseudomonadati; Bacteroidota; Cytophagia; Cytophagales; Cytophagaceae.
GUUGCAAACCGUCUUAUCGCUCUUUGAGAAAUCAGAGGGAGGAAAGUCCGGGCAACACAGAGCAUCGUACUUCCUAACGGGAAGGCUUUUGGUUAUAAUGACUGAGAGACAGAGAGUGCCACAGAAAACAAACUACCUGCAAAGAUUUUUCUUUGAAGGAAAAGGUGAAAUGGCGGGGUAAGAGCCCACCGUUAUGCCAGUGAUGGUGUAAGCAGGGUAAACCUUACGAGUUGAAAGGCCAAAUAAGUCACGUUUCGAAAGGGAUAGCUGCUCGCUAUCUGUUCUUCGGAGCAGGCGUGACGGGUAGGCUGAUGGAGCCCGGUUGUGAAACCGAGGCCAGAUAAAUGAUAAGAGUUCUGAGCAAUCAGGAAACAGAACCCGGCUUAUAGGUUUGCUUUUUUU